GGUUAGCAUGUCCAUAUCGCAACCGAGCACGUGUAGAGGGCGGCGAGCAGGAGCGUGGCAGAGACCUCGACGAUGACACGGCGCUGCUGCAGAUUAAUUGGAGUUCAGAAUAGCAAGUUGCGGCAAUCAAGUCAGGAAAAGGAAACAAGAAUUGAUGAAUUAUGUGUCUAGAGUCUAGAUUCAGUGUUGCUAUGUGCUCUGAAUUUUUUGAACCUGAAAUUCCUGGUCUUGCACAUGCACUGUGCUAAUGUUUGCGAUAUAUAUGCACGAUUAGUGUUCUUGCAAAAAAAGAAUUACUCGAUGAUCUGUGAGAUAUUGUAUGUUGAAGUUGGCCUAUUCACCAUAAUGUUCUUUUGUAUACACACAAACAUAUGAUUUUGAUGUUA
Molecule: long non-coding RNA, 386 nt
Organism: Brachypodium distachyon (stiff brome)
Lineage: Eukaryota; Viridiplantae; Streptophyta; Magnoliopsida; Poales; Poaceae
Exons: 2
Source: RefSeq, a predicted model, not a curated record